UGCCAGACUCCUACGGGAGGCAGCAGUGAGGAAUAUUGGUCAAUGGGCGAGAGCCUGAACCAGCCAAGUCGCGUGAGGGAGUACUGCCCUAUGGGUUGUAAACCUCUUUUGUCGGGGAGCAAAAGCCGGACGUGUCCGUCUGUGAGAGUACCCGAAGAAAAAGCAUCGGCUAACUCCGUGCCAGCAGCCGCGGUAAUACGGAGGAUGCGAGCGUUAUCCGGAUUUAUUGGGUUUAAAGGGUGCGUAGGCGGGACGGUAAGUCAGCGGUAAAAAGGCGGAGCUCAACUCCGUCGAGCCGUUGAAACUGCCGUUCUUGAGUGAGCGAGAAGUAUGCGGAAUUCCUAGUGUAGCGGUGAAAUGCGUAGAUAUUAGGAGGAACACCAGUGGCGAAGGCGGCCUGCUGGACAGAAACUGACGUUGAGGCUCGAAAGCGUGGGGAGCAAACAGGAUUAGAUACCCCUGUA
This 464-nucleotide ribosomal RNA is filed under the name uncultured bacterium. RNAcentral describes it as "bacterial SSU rRNA". It matches the Rfam family "Bacterial small subunit ribosomal RNA", at positions 329 to 792 of the family's 1533-position model. The record is from RNAcentral.